GUAGGUGGCAAGCGUUGUCCGGAAUUAUUGGGGCGUAAAGCGCGCGCAGGCGGUCCUUUAAGUCUGAUGUGAAAGCCCACGGGCUCAACCGUGGAGGGUCAUUGGAAACUGGGGGACUUGAGUACAGAAGAGGAAAGCGGAAUUCCACGUGUAGCGGUGAAAUGCGUAGAGAUGUGGAGGAACACCAGUGGCGAAGGCGGCUUUCUGGUCUGUAACUGACGCUGAGGCGCGAAAGCGUGGGGAGCAAACAGGAUUAGAUACCCUGGUAGUCCACGCCGUAAACGAUGAGUGCUAAGUGUUAGGGGGUUUCCGCCCCUUAGUGCUGCAGCUAACGCAUUAAGCACUCCGCCUGGGGAGUACGGCCGCAAAGGCUGA
RNAcentral lists this ribosomal RNA (375 nucleotides) under uncultured organism. Its description in RNAcentral is "partial 16S ribosomal RNA". It matches the Rfam family "Bacterial small subunit ribosomal RNA", at positions 527 to 897 of the family's 1533-position model. The record is from RNAcentral.